ACGCAGGCUCGCAGCCUGGCCGCGGGGCCGCGAGCCCGAAGGGAGGGGGCGUGGUGGGCGGCGGACCAGCCCUGCGGCGCCGCGAGGGCGCGUCGGGAAGCGGCGCUGCCGCGUGGACCGACCUCGCACGACCCGCGAGCCGCGGAGGGCGAGCCCGGGAGGCUUGCGGAGAAGGCACGGGGGGACAGCCCCGCCCGCUCUGCGGACAGCGACAGCGGUGGACACUCUGGAGCCUCUUGGGGGGCGCGUGCCAGGCUGAGAAGACGAGGGUGGAACCGCAGCUGGGCGUCCCUCUCAGCCCAGAGGCCUUUGAGGAGUGGAAUCUAUCUGGAACCAUCUUUGCUUCCUGCGCCCUUUCUGGUCCCUCUGCAGGCACCACCCGGCCUGUCCAUGCUCUGUCCCACCCCCUGCCCUCCUCCCCCACAGGCAGCCUAGGCGCCCUAGGAGGGAGGCCGGGAGGGAUGGCCCAUGGUGCCCUGCGUACUUGCCAAAACCCUGAGGGCAGGGGAGGGAAUUGUCACAAUAAAUGGGAAGGGAGUUGUCACAGGGA
Molecule: long non-coding RNA, 550 nt
Organism: Canis lupus familiaris (dog)
Lineage: Eukaryota; Metazoa; Chordata; Mammalia; Carnivora; Canidae
Exons: 2
Source: RefSeq, a predicted model, not a curated record